UACGUAGGGCGCAAGCGUUGUCCGGAAUUAUUGGGCGUAAAGAGCUCGUAGGCGGCUUGUCACGUCGGCUGUGAAAUCCCACGGCUCAACUGUGGGCUUGCGGUCGAUACGGGCAGGCUAGAGUUCGGUAGGGGAGACUGGAAUUCCUGGUGUAGCGGUGAAAUGCGCAGAUAUCAGGAGGAACACCGGUGGCGAAGGCGGGUCUCUGGGCCGAUACUGACGCUGAGGAGCGAAAGCGUGGGGAGCGAACAGG
This 253-nucleotide ribosomal RNA is filed under the name uncultured bacterium. Its description in RNAcentral is "partial 16S ribosomal RNA". It matches the Rfam family "Bacterial small subunit ribosomal RNA", at positions 524 to 776 of the family's 1533-position model. The record is from RNAcentral.